CCCUUAGAUGUUCUGGGCCGCACGCGCGCUACACUGAUGCAUUCAACGAGUCCAACCUUGACCGAGAGGUCCGGGUAAUCUUUGAAACUGCAUCGUGAUGGGGCUAGAUUAUUGCAAUUAUUAAUCUUCAACGAGGAAUGCCUAGUAAGCGUGAUUCAUCAAAUCGCGUUGAUUACGUCCCUGCCCUUUGUACACACCGCCCGUCGCUCCUACCGAUUGAGUGUGUUGGUGAGGAGUUUGGAUUGGCCUCGGAAAGUGGUUCGCCACCGUCCGUAGCUGAGAAGUUCUCCAAACCGCCCCACUUAGAGGAAGGAGAAGUCGUAACA
This 326-nucleotide ribosomal RNA is filed under the name uncultured eukaryote. RNAcentral's name for it is "partial 18S ribosomal RNA". It matches the Rfam family "Eukaryotic small subunit ribosomal RNA", at positions 1470 to 1796 of the family's 1831-position model. The record is from RNAcentral.